Molecule: non-coding RNA, 45 nt
Filed under: Echinostoma caproni
Lineage: Eukaryota; Metazoa; Platyhelminthes; Trematoda; Plagiorchiida; Echinostomatidae
Source: RNAcentral
GCACUGUUGACGAGUCCCAAACAAGACGAAACAGCUGUCCGGUGU